Molecule: ribosomal RNA, 482 nt
Filed under: uncultured archaeon
Lineage: Archaea
Description: bacterial SSU rRNA
Rfam family: Archaeal small subunit ribosomal RNA
Source: RNAcentral
ACGGGGUGCAGCAGGCGCGAAAACUUCACACUGCGCGAAAGCGCGAUGAGGGAAUCCCAAGUGCUUGCACGUUAGUGUAAGCUGUUUCUAUGUUUAAAUUGCACAGAGAGUAAGAGCUGGGUAAGACGGGUGCCAGCCGCCGCGGUAAUACCUGCAGCUCGAGUGGUGACCACUAUUAUUGGGCCUAAAACGUCCGUAGCCGGUUUAAUAAAUGCCUGGGUAAAUCGUGUAGCUUAACUAUACGAAUUCCGGGUAGACUGCUAAACUUGAGACCGGGAGAAGCUAGAGGUACUCCUGGGGUAGAGGUGAAAUUCUGUAAUCCUGGGGGGACCACCAGUGGCGAAGGCGUCUAGCUAGAACGGGUCUGACGGUGAGGGACGAAGCCCUGGGGCGCGAACCGGAUUAGAUACCCGGGUAGUCCAGGGUGUAAACGCUGCUUGCUUGAUGUUAGUCGGGCUCCGAGCCCGAUUAGUGUCGGAGAG